Molecule: long non-coding RNA, 832 nt
Organism: Zalophus californianus (California sea lion)
Lineage: Eukaryota; Metazoa; Chordata; Mammalia; Carnivora; Otariidae
Exons: 3
Source: RefSeq, a predicted model, not a curated record
UUAUCAAUGGGCGCAGGGAUCUCCCCCAUCCCCCAGAUCCAGGUAUCUGGUUGUUUAAAGCCCCAGGGUACCCUCAGCAAGUGGCUUCAAGGGGGCCUCGCUGAGCCUUCCCCACCCACCCAUGUCCAGCUCGUUGGGUGAAGCAGGCGAGCGCGAAAAGGCGAAAGGUUACCCAGACUGCAGUUCGAAGACCUGAGGCUGCGGGGAGUAGUGGUGGGGUGGGAGGUGAGAGCCUGGGGACCAUCCGUGGAGAAGGGGAGCUCGCCACUUUGGGGAAAGGGAGGAGGAAGAGAGCGCAGAGAUGUGUGGGGGGGCCCAAGAUGAAAAGCAGAAGGGAGGGGAGGAGGAAAGCGAGCGGGCGCAAUCCCACCCUUCGAGAAGGUCGUCAACCCCGAAGAAAGCAGACGCAGGGUUCCUGACCCCUGCCGGGCACGCCCGGGCGCGGAGCGAGGGACCCCUGCGCAGCGCGCCUUGCCACUUGAGGCCCCCGCCCAGAGGAGCCGGCGGGGCGGCUGCGUGAACAGGUGACUUUAUUCACUGCUUCCCGAAUCGUCGAGGUCCCGGGACUCGUUUUCCGCCUGGAGAUUAAGAUCAUUGCUCGCGUAAUGAACUUAAUGCUUUAGGGUAGAGCUCCGCCUUGGGAGAGGACGUUUACAGACACGUUGGCGGGCAGAUUGGGCCAAAAAGUGACACCCCCCCACACCCCGCUCCCCGCCAUCUCCCAUAAGUGUCCUCAAUAACCUCCAAGCUGGCUCUGAAAUUUACAAGAGGAAAAGCUAAAAUCGCAUUAAGGGGGACUGGGGGAGUCCAGGCAAGGGGAGAAAGGAUCUGA